RNAcentral lists this ribosomal RNA (466 nucleotides) under uncultured bacterium. RNAcentral describes it as "bacterial SSU rRNA". It matches the Rfam family "Bacterial small subunit ribosomal RNA", at positions 29 to 490 of the family's 1533-position model. The record is from RNAcentral.
AUUGAACGCUGGCGGCAUGCUUUACACAUGCAAGUCGAACGGUAACAGGCCUUCGGGUGCUGACGAGUGGCGAACGGGUGAGUAAUGCAUCGGAACGUGCCCAAUCGUGGGGGAUAACGUAGCGAAAGUUACGCUAAUACCGCAUAAGCCCUGAGGGGGAAAGUGGGGGACCGCAAGGCCUCACGCGAAUGGAGCGGCCGAUGUCAGAUUAGCUAGUUGGUGGGGUAAAGGCUCACCAAGGCGACGAUCUGUAGCGGGUCUGAGAGGAUGAUCCGCCACACUGGGACUGAGACACGGCCCAGACUCCUACGGGAGGCAGCAGUGGGGAAUUUUGGACAAUGGGCGCAAGCCUGAUCCAGCCAUGCCGCGUGCGGGACGAAGGCCUCGGUUGUAAACCGCGUUCUAGCCGGAAGAAAUACGACUGUUUUUAAUACGGUACAGUGGAUGACGGUACCGGAAGAAGAAG